GAUGAACAGCUACCCACUACUACAGAUUUUUUUUCUUUAUAGAGAAGCUUCCGAGGUACUUUCGCUUUACUUCCGCAUUUCUGCUCGCAACUUCCGUUUUACAAUUUCUCCAUCCAUAAAUUUACCGGGAUAUCAGUCUGAAAUGGGGAAAAUGGGGCAUUCAUUAAUGCUCAUGACAGUGUCAUGUCAUAAUGAUGAUCGUCUUGUGACAGUCUUAUGACACCAUGGUCAAUUAAAGUGUUCCCGAAAAAAGGAACAAGUAAUAGAACUAAAUACCACAAGUCAUGUAUUACAAUUUCUGAGAGUAAUAUUCAAUGUGUAAUUACUUUUAAAGUAACUAAAGCCAAAACUGCUAGUGUAGAAAUAGCCUGAGUCAAUUCUGUUGAGAUAAGUGGGUGUAUAACUGUGAAAAACAUGGUACAGUAUUUGACCAAAGAGCAAUUCUAAUUUUGUAAAAGGUGAAGCCCAAAUCCAUUAGUUUGUAUCUUGUAAAUGAUUAUUUCAAACAAAAAAAUAUUACCUAAAAAUCAUGAUUAAUACUCGUAUAAGUUUCAACUUAAAAAUGUUAAUUCUAUUGAAGCUCUGACAUUGUAUAAAAAAAAAAAAAAAACUGAGUAUAAAAACAAUACAAUAACUUGCACAUUCCAAUUAAAUACACCACAAAGACAAGAUACAAUAUUUUAGUAAAUUAUGAGUGAAAAAAAUCAAUUCUAGCAGUUUGAGCAUUGUUAUCAAUUAUAAUUUAUACAGCAUCCAGACGUUUGAAGAAAUGCGGUUUGUAUUUUAUUUCCUUCUUCAAACAGGAAGGCACCAAAGAUCUUGUCCACACCUUUGACUUUACAUGUUCUUAUCGGGGUGAUAUGAGCACUGUUAGUUUUUUAAGGAAACCCGGCGACACAGUAGCAAUUUUAUUUGGAGUCAUCUGAGCCUGCCUGUGUACCUUUCCUCCACAGCUGCUUAGCAGGCACUAGAUCUAGGCUGGAUAUAUCUUGUCGAUGUCAUUGCAACAGGAAGUGUAAGCCACGCCGACUCAGCUACAAGUGAUUGUUCACACAGACUAUGAGCAGAGAUGAAUUCUGCUCACUUGUGGGUGCUGAUGGCUGUUUUGAGCCUUGGAAAUGGUGAGCAAAUGGUGCACCAGGCUACGGGGGAUGUGCAUGAUGUGGAGGGCGCAACAGUGACGCUGGACUGUAGCUUCCAGAGCAACGAUGACAUUUUCUGGUAUAAACUUGAAAGAAAUGCAGCACCCGACUUUGUUUUGAGCGUCUCUCAGUACGGUAAACUCAAAUAUGGGGAUAAGUACUCCCAAAGGUUCAACUCCACCAUAGAUGCCAGUGCCUUGCAAGCUCAUCUGCAUAUCAAGGGGUUGAAGCGGAAUGAUUCGGCAAUCUUCUACUGCGCCCUGCAGCCCACACUGACACAUUCACUUCUGUGCUUGUACAAAAACACCUGCAUCCGUUCCUAGUCAAAUUGGGGGUGCAGCCUACAGAAGUAGACUCCUCACUGUAACAAUUAAUUGCAAAACAACCAAUUAAAAUAAAGUAAAAUUAAAAUUCUCAAACCUUAAAAGAUACGAACUGAAUGAAAUCACAAAUACUAAAACUAUUAAAUGACAAGAACAAGGACUUCACUCAUUGAUGAAUUUUCAAGACACAAAUGUGGACAACGCAUACAUAGACAAAAUACAACAUAAAGCUACCCCUAUGAGCUGUCACUUUGUUAUGGUGUGGGGACCGGGGGGAGGUUGUGUGUCCCAAUGAUCAUAGGAGCUAUGUUGUCUGGGGCUUUGUGCCCCUGGCAGGGUCACCCAUGGCAAAGAGGUUCUAGGUGAGGGACCAGACAACGAAUGGCUCAAAAGUCCUUCUAUAAUGAGCACCAAUAUUGAAACUCAGUUUUCCCUCACCCGUACGCGUGUCAGCGGCGCCGCUGUCUGGAGCCAGGCCUGGAGGUGGGGCACAAUGGCAAGCACCUGGUGGCCGGCCGUACACCCAUGGGGUCCAGCCAGGCAGAACCUGAAGAGGUAAUGUGUCUUAACCUUCCCAUGGACUCACCACCUGUGGGAGGGGCCAAGGGGGUCAGGUGCGCAGACUGAUGGGUGGCAGCCAAAGGAGGGUCCUUGCAGAAGCUGGCUCUUGAGACGUGGAAUGUCACCUCUCUGGUCGGG
This is a non-coding RNA of Corythoichthys intestinalis (scribbled pipefish), 2164 nucleotides long. The record is from the annotation of a RefSeq genome assembly. NCBI's taxonomy places the organism in Eukaryota, Metazoa, Chordata, Actinopteri, Syngnathiformes, Syngnathidae.